CAAAGGUUGAAACUUUGGGAAGAGAGUUAAGAAUUUGAGCAGUUUCAGAUUCUGGGUCUUGAUUAUUUUGCUCAAAGGUUGAAACUUUGGGGAGAGAGUUAAGAAUUUGAGCAGUUUCAGAUUCUGGGUCUUGAUUAUUUUGCUCAAAGGUUGAAACUUUGGGGAGAGAGUUAAGAAUUUGAGCAGUUUCAGAUUCUGGGUCUUGAUUAUUUUGCUCAAAGGUUGAAACUUUGGGGAGAGAGUUAAGAAUUUGAGCAGUUUCAGAUUCUGGGUCUUCAUGAUUUUGCUGAAAGGUUGAAACUUUGGGAAGAGGGUUAAGAAUCUGAGGAGAUUUGGGUUCUGGGUUUUGCAUAGGAGGGUCAUAUG
This 366-nucleotide long non-coding RNA is filed under the name Lupinus angustifolius (narrow-leaved blue lupine). RNAcentral describes it as "long non-coding RNA (LANG_LNC001929)". Lineage: Eukaryota; Viridiplantae; Streptophyta; Magnoliopsida; Fabales; Fabaceae. The record is from RNAcentral.